CCAUAGAUAGAGGGAUGUGAAUGGUUGUUUGCUAUCUACCCAUACUGAAGAAUGACUCAACUCAACUCUAUAUUUUAAAAAAGGGAUAGGAAAAAAAAAUAACAGAAUCAACUGAGACACAAUGGGGAAGAGACUAAAGGAAAAAUACAAAAGUCAAAGAAAGUGAUGACAUGCAAAUGGACAUUGAAAGGAUGCAUUUUAAUGUGGAAUAAGAAAAGGAGGAUAUUAUGAGGAAGGAAGAUUGAUGGGUUCAAGUACUGAUACACUUAGUGAUGUCUGCUAAAGUACAGUCAACCCUUGAACAAUGCAGGGGUCAAGGGCGCCCACCUUACUUGCCAUCAAAAAUCCAGGUAUAAUGGAUAGUCAGUCCUCUGUAUUUGCAGCCUCCGCAUCCACUGAUUCAAACAACUGCAGAUCGUGUACUACUGCAGUGUUUACUGCUAAAAAAAAUCCCAAUUUAGUGGACCCAUGCAGUUCAAACUCAUGUAUUUCAAGGGUUAACUGUACUUUAAAACUUCUGCUUUAUGAAUGCUUUAUAAAAAAUAAUAUCAGUAGUUCACUUUUAUAAAGUAGCAGCCACUGGUAGGCACUUAGCAUACAUUAUCUCAUUCAACACACACACACAUAGUCAGGUAUUAUUGUCACCAUAUUUCAAAUAAAAACUUGAGAACUGAAGAGGUCCCUAAUGUGUGAGGCUUACAUGGCUAAUUAAUGUAAUGUAGACCCGGCAUGAGGACCAGUCUAACUCCAGAUGCACAUACCCAAUGGGCUGCACUCACUUCCACACACGUGUCAGGAUUUGGUUCAGUUCUAGAAAAAUCCAAGUGGAUGGAACUGGUAACAGAUAUAAAGAAAUCUAGUCCCGAAAUUUUCUCCUCUGUUCUUUCUCCUUGUGGAUUUUUUGCUAGAUUGACAGUUUUAUAUUGUACAACUUCACCAGUAACAAUAACCUCGUUCUUCUUCAUAGUCUUAGUGAAUCUAUAGAUUCAUAUCGUUGUUAUUGUAUGUAUGCAUAUUGCAGAAUCAGGUCUCUGCUAUGGGCAAAAUAAAAGUAAUUCUUACAUGAUGGGUCUUUUUUUUUUUUUAAGUCUCACACAUCAAAAUAUUAAAAAUCAAGCUUAAAUUUCCCACAUGGGGAAAAUGUAGAAAACAGGGAGACUGGGCUCAUAACCACAAAUACCUAUGCUUGAUAAACUAUUGCAUUCCAGAAGACUGAACUGCAUCAAGUUUUCUAAGCUGAAAUGCAUCACGUUUUCUUUUUUGCUUUUUAGGGCCUAACUUGCAGCAUAUGGAAGGUCCCAGCCGAGGGGUCGAAUCAGAACAAAAGCUGCUGGCUUAUACCACAGCCAUAGCCACACCAGAACUGAGCCUAGUCUGUGACCUAGACCACAGCUCAUAGCAACGCUGGAUCCUUAACCCAUUGAGCAAGGCCAGGGAUCAACCUGCAUCCUCACAGAUCAUAGUCAGGUUCAUUAACUGCUGAGCCACAAAGGGAACUCCCUGCAUCCUGUCUAAAAGCAUACAAAUAUUUUCACAGGGAAACUAAUUAUUUAAUUGCAGAAAGUUGUGAAGUUAAUGUUGCAUCACAGUGUACUUAUCUUAUGAAUUAUUUCAGUUUCUUCAAUAUUUUCACAGAAACAAGUCAGAAUGUGGAAGAACCUGUUUAUUGUGAUCAUAAAAUAAUCAUUCACCAAGUAUGUCUUGGGAGAGAUUUUUACAGAAAUCUUUGAAGAGCCCUUGAGAAAGAUGUAGAGCCACCAAGCAUCCAAGGAAACUUGUGCACCGACCUCUUUGUUCUAUUGAAAUGACACUGUGGCACUAUACACAUGGUAGGAAAGAAACAGCAAGUUAUUGUUCAAAGUUGAGAUUAAUUUCCUCCCACUGGCAAGAUGACAAACAAUCACUUACAUAUAAGAAUCUCUUAGGGAUAAUGUGUUUAAUUGGCAAAGUGCUUUAAGGGUAAUUACUUUGCAUUAAAGACUGCCUAUAAGAAUUUAAGACUAAAUCUACUAUGACUAGGGUAGGGCAUUUCCUUUUGAUCUACUUACAAUUAGAAGCAUUUAAUAAGCCAUUGUCUUUAUAUGAUUAAAUGGAAUUAAAGAUGAGUUAGAAGGUUUUAGAACCCAUAGAAGACCUAACUGACUUUUUCCCCUUUAUGUGCCAGAGUGGAGAAAUCUUUCUUGACUUCUUCUGGGGGUUGACUCUACUAAAUUGCUGUAUUUAUUCACACAGAAGAGGUUCAGGAAAUUAACCCAAAGCCUCAAUAGCCUUAUGUUUGGCCUGGAGUUGAUGUUCAUGGAUGGAUGGAUAGAUGAAAGAAUGGAAAGACCAGGAAUAGUCAGAGUCUAAAGACUGAAUGGGACCACUAUGGUAAAUCAGGAUAUUGGAGAAGAUUUCAGUUCUAAGCAGUUAGAUUAGUGGUUUUAACCCUGAUCAUGCAUUAACUAGCACCAGGAAAACAUUUAAGAUAAACACUUGGCUCAGGACCUCCCAUAGGCCAAUUAAAUCAAAAUCUUCACAUGUGAGUUAAAUAGUAGUGAUAGUACAGGUAUUUUUCAAUACUUUACUAGGUAGAGUUGUCAGGUUCUACACUUGAUCUUAGCCAAAAGGCCAAGAAGCAAUAGAGAUAUCAGGAUCUACAAACGAAAAGAUAGGAUGCCCAGUUCAAGGUGAAUUUUAGAUUUAAAAAAACAAGUAAUUUUUUAAUUUAAGUGUAUCCCAGGCAACAUUUGGGAUAUACUUACAACAAAAUUUUAUUUAUCGUUUUUCUGAAAUUUAAAUUUAGGCAUUCUAUUAUAUAUGGUAACCUUAGUUCUAAUGUACAGUAUUGAGAACAAGUGAGUUCUGUAAGUUAAGUGUGUGGGGCAUGACAACAAGAAAGGAUAAUAGCAGCAAAGUAGGAUGUCCAAACAUCUAGCAUUUGGCAACCAGGAGCAGGGACACAGAAGCAGUGCUCUCUCUGGAAAGACUAAAGGUUCAAAGUAAAUCCUCGGUUUCAAAGAAACUAGGGCAUCAGAUAAGAAGCCUAGGUGGAAACAAAUUAAGUUUAUGUGAACAAGACAAGGACCCAACUGUUUAGUACAAUAUACUAUGGGCUUUUCAUGGUCAAAACACUGUUGUAGAAGCAAAGACGGUGAGAACAGAAUUCGCAGAAAAUAAGAUCCUCCACUGUGGCACCAAAUCAUGGAUCCAGGAGACCUGGUGUUUUCCCUGCUAAAGAAUGAAUUCGUCUCAGAGCCUGGAGUGUGUAAUCUUAGCGAGUUCUGAAGUGACCUUAUUUCAGUAAUUGGAGGCCUUUUGGCUUGAGGGCUGGACAUUUCCUUAUGGCAGAAUCAGCAAAGAAUCCAGCAUCACAUCAACAACUCUUAGAAGUGUCUCUAUUGGCCAAUAUUCAUGUCAAAGCAACAGCCAGAUGAGAAGUGUUAAGAAGAUAAGCCUUGAGCAAGAUAAAUGACACUGUAAGAUUUUUCCUUUUGUGAACUGAAGAUGAAAAAAUGAAAGUAGAUUUUGACAUUAAUGGGACUACAAAAGGAAAAAAAAAAAAUUAGGAUUCUUGCUCCCCCUUAGAAAAAUCCAAAGGUAGUCUG
This 3587-nucleotide long non-coding RNA is filed under the name Sus scrofa (pig). Its description in RNAcentral is "lncRNA (ENSSSCG00000063477.1)". Lineage: Eukaryota; Metazoa; Chordata; Mammalia; Artiodactyla; Suidae. The record is from RNAcentral.